AGAGUUUGAUCAUGGCUCAGAUUGAACGCUGGCGGCAUGCCUUACACAUGCAAGUCGAACGGCAGCAUGAUGUGUAGCAAUACACGUUGAUGGCGAGUGGCGAACGGGUGAGUAAUAUAUCGGAACAUGUCCUGUAGCGGGGGAUAACCUAUCGAAAGAUGGACUAAUACCGCAUACGCUCUACGGAGGAAAGCGGGGGUCGCAAGACCUCGCACUAGAGGAGUGGCCGAUAUCGGAUUAGCUAGUUGGCGGGGUAAAAGCCCACCAAGGCGACGAUCCGUAGCUGGUCUGAGAGGAUGAUCAGCCACACUGGAACUGAGACACGGUCCAGACUCCUACGGGAGGCAGCAGUGGGGAAUUUUGGACAAUGGGCGCAAGCCUGAUCCAGCCAUGCCGCGUGAGUGAAGAAGGCCUUCGGGUUGUAAAGCUCUUUCGGCAGGAACGAAAUGGUUCGUGCUAAUACCACGGAUUGAUGACGGUACCUGAAGAAGAAGCACCGGCUAACUACGUGCCAGCAGCCGCGGUAAUACGUAGGGUGCAGGCGUUAAUCGGAAUUACUGGGCGUAAAGCGUGCGCAGGCGGUUUCUUAAGUCAGAUGUGAAAGCCCCGGGCUUAACCUGGGAACUGCGUUUGAAACUGGGAGACUUGAGUGUGGCAGAGGGGGGUGGAAUUCCACGUGUAGCAGUGAAAUGCGUAGAUAUGUGGAGGAACACCGAUGGCGAAGGCAGCCCCCUGGGUCAACACUGACGCUCAUGCACGAAAGCGUGGGGAGCAAACAGGAUUAGAUACCCUAGUAGUCC
RNAcentral lists this ribosomal RNA (800 nucleotides) under uncultured bacterium. RNAcentral describes it as "bacterial SSU rRNA". It matches the Rfam family "Bacterial small subunit ribosomal RNA", at positions 8 to 796 of the family's 1533-position model. The record is from RNAcentral.